UUAGCUAAUUUUGGGCUGGUACAAAUAGCAAUUGGGGCCGGAGCCACGCCCAGGACAACAAGGGCCACGGCCCUGGGCGCAGCGAGAAUUUCAGCCUACCAUCAGGUGAAAAACAAAUUGGCCCAGGGCGAAGCCCAGGCCUGUCCCAACUUUCUUUCUCUUCGCUGGCUCACUCGACCGGGCGAGAGAACCGGAACCCUCCCCUCGUUUGCUUGGUCACCUGGCCGGCUGGCCGGCUGGCUGGUGCCUCAAAAUGGCUCCGAUCCUACUUGGCCGCCGCCUCCGGCCCUCCGCCCAUGCCUGGCCUCUGCCUUCUGAUCCGUCUCCUCUGCUCUGCCACUCCCGCGAGAUCGUCGGCCGGCGUCGCCAUAGCCUGACUUGGCAUGACACUGCCUGUCUGCCUCCUCUGCUCCACCACCCCGACUCCUGCUGAUUGACCCUCCUCCUCGGCAGUGCUCGGCUGCGGCACGACACCUCGGCACUUCUGCUGCGGCUCCUCUCAAGUCUUAACUUGGAUAGAUCAACAGCCAAAGUCUAAACUGCUCCGGGUUUGACUCCCUCGGCUGGCAUGCACGCAAGCAUAUACCUGUCAUUGGAAGCGGCGCCUAAUUUGAACUCUACUGAAUUUAGCCAGACUGUAGCCUGCACCAAGCGUUUGUGUCAAGUGCCAACUCUCUUCCUGAAAGUGUGUUUUUCCUUUUUUUGAAAUUCUUUUUUAUCAUUAGUGUAAACAUAGGCUGAGGCUUGAGCACACGGCCUGCAUGCCCGGUUUCAUGC
Lolium perenne is the source of this 777-nucleotide long non-coding RNA. RefSeq lists it as uncharacterized. Lineage: Eukaryota; Viridiplantae; Streptophyta; Magnoliopsida; Poales; Poaceae. The record is from RefSeq and is a predicted model, not a curated record.